GCUGUUAUAGUUUAUUGAAAAAUAUACGAUUUGUAAUCGUGGGAAGAGAGCAGCU
This 55-nucleotide transfer RNA is filed under the name Contracaecum osculatum. RNAcentral describes it as "tRNA-Thr". The record is from RNAcentral. Lineage: Eukaryota; Metazoa; Nematoda; Chromadorea; Rhabditida; Anisakidae.